Molecule: long non-coding RNA, 547 nt
Filed under: Dromaius novaehollandiae (emu)
Lineage: Eukaryota; Metazoa; Chordata; Aves; Casuariiformes; Dromaiidae
Description: lncRNA (ENSDNVG00000004522.1)
Source: RNAcentral
GAAAGAAGAAGAAGCUGUAUGUAUUACAUACCCAUAAACAUGGUGCCAAGGUAUGGUGAAGUUCCUGAACUCCAUCCAGGAAACAACCACUAGCAGUUGCAGAUUUGCUGGCACUUAAUCUCCAAAGGCAGUGUUUAAUCCGGGGCUUUGAAGAAGGGAGGGCAAUCAAAGUUGUCUGAAGAAAUGCACUCUGAAUCCUGGGCCGUGCAUGCUGACCUCCUACUGAAAUUUUACACUCUGCAUUUCAAAGGCAUUCUCUUGACAUGUAGGCUGUAUGUGAUUGAAAGAUGAGUUCUCUAACCACUAAGCUAUGGGACAUUGAUUUUUCCUGUUGAAACUGUUCCACUUUUUAUAAAAUACUCAGAUACUAAUUAGUGCAGAAGCUAGUACCUAACCACCAGGUCAUACUUUACUUCAGAACUGCGCGAGGAUCCACAUUAGUGAAUGAAGAAGAUAUCAAGCUAGCUAAUGAGUCRGCUCCAGGACCGGUAUGGUUGGGUCCGUGCAGGACUGUGCUCAGGCUCAUUAGCUCAUCUGAAGAGAAGAG